This 440-nucleotide ribosomal RNA is filed under the name uncultured bacterium. RNAcentral describes it as "partial 16S ribosomal RNA". It matches the Rfam family "Bacterial small subunit ribosomal RNA", at positions 338 to 795 of the family's 1533-position model. The record is from RNAcentral.
CCUACGGGAGGCAGCAGUGGGGGAUAUUGCACAAUGGGGGGAACCCUGAUGCAGCGACGCCGCGUGGGUGAAGAAGCGCCUCGGCGCGUAAAGCCCUGUCAGCAGGGAAGAAAAUGACGGUACCUGAAGAAGAAGCCCCGGCUAACUACGUGCCAGCAGCCGAGGGAAUACGUAGGGGGCAAGCGUUAUCCGGAUUUACGGGGUGUAAAGGGGGCGCAGACGGCGAUGCAAGCCAGGAGGGAAAGCCCGGGGCCCAACCCCGGGACUGCUCUUGGAACUGCGUGGCUGGAGUGCAGGAGGGGCAGGCGGAAUGCCUGGUGUAGCGGUGAAAUGCGUAGAUAUCAGGAGGAACACCGGUGGCGAAGGCGGCCUGCUGGACUGCAACUGACGUUGAGGCCCGAAAGCGUGGGGAGCAAACAGGAUUAGAUACCCUAGUAGUC